RNAcentral lists this long non-coding RNA (838 nucleotides) under Brachypodium distachyon (stiff brome). Its description in RNAcentral is "long non-coding RNA (BDIS_LNC004437)". The record is from RNAcentral. Lineage: Eukaryota; Viridiplantae; Streptophyta; Magnoliopsida; Poales; Poaceae.
CCGAUGUCUCAUAGUCCUCCUACGCAUAUCUCACAUGGAGAAAUAGAUUGGCAAAAAUUUUAUGCUGAAAGAGAAAGUUUGCUCAUUGUUUGUGUAGCAGAGCACUAAUAUGAUAGUAGGUGAUCGAGCGAGACCACAUGUACAACUAAGCGAAGGCACCGGGGCAAGAGGCCGGCUACCGUUCUCUUGUAUACCCACCUUCUAAAGGCUGUUUACUUAAGUGAACCCGACUAUUUAGUACUUCCUCCGAUCUGUCCUUAAAUAUAGAAAACCUAUCAACAUGUAUGACCGACUUAAAUUAGUUUUAUUGAAUGCAUAAUAAUAUAUAUCUUUAGCCUGUUAGUAUACUUAUUUGAUAUACCAACAUACAAUUUUACAUGCCUCCUAUUACUGAUGAAUCUAGAGGCCGCGGGAGGGCAGCACUGCCUGAGUUCGACCUUUUUUCUCUUUUUUUUUUGAUAGAUGAGUUCGGCAAGCACGGGAGAAAGAAAUUGGUACCGAGCAGAAAAGAGGCAGGAAUUCUUCAGUUCUAAUUAAUUAAUCGCUGAAUGAACACGAGUGAAAAAAAAUUAGACUAAUGUUAGUUGUUGAUUUUGGUUAGGUGGGCGUAAUAUUGAGGUGGGAAUGGUUUGUGUACAUUAGGUGGUAGUUUAAAAAAAGAAAAUAUUGGUGCCUUUAUAAGUAAUAGAAAUUAAUCCAACAACUUGAUAAUUUCCUACUUGGCAAUCAUGUCACCCAGUUCACCAAAACACAAUUAUUGUUUAUGCACAACAGCAGUGCAUGACCACUCUGCCAUCUUUUUUUCAAUAUGAAACAACACAUGGUGUUAUUCAUUGCC